GUUUUUCGCUCUAAGAUAAGCCCGCGUGAGGUUAGCUAGUUGGUGAGGUAAUGGCUCACCAAGGCAACGAUCUCUAACUGGUCUGAGAGGAUGAUCAGUCACACUGGAACUGAGACACGGUCCAGACUCCUACGGGAGGCAGCAGUAGGGAAUAUUGCACAAUGGAGGAAACUCUGAUGCAGCGACGCCGCGUGAGUGAUGAAGGACUUCGGUUCGUAAAGCUCUGUCGUAUGGGAAUAAGAAAGUG
RNAcentral lists this ribosomal RNA (247 nucleotides) under uncultured Bdellovibrio sp. Its description in RNAcentral is "partial 16S ribosomal RNA". It matches the Rfam family "Bacterial small subunit ribosomal RNA", at positions 210 to 456 of the family's 1533-position model. The record is from RNAcentral. Lineage: Bacteria; Pseudomonadati; Bdellovibrionota; Bdellovibrionia; Bdellovibrionales; Pseudobdellovibrionaceae.